AUAACAUUUAUUGUGUACUGAAUGUCUGAUAGGCAAUGUGUCAGAUCCUUUGUAGUCACUGCCCCCUUUGGUGUGCUUGCUAGAUUAAGCUAGAUUUUAUUUUUUUCUCCAUUUUACAGAUGAGGAAAGAGGAAGGUUAAUUGGAUUAUCUGAGGUCAACCAGCCAGGGUGAGAUUCGGGCCCCAUCCUGGUUGACUACGGAGCUCACACUCUUAACUUAUCAUUCCUCAUGAUCUGCGGAUAAUUUAAAGUAAAAAACAAAUAUUAGCCACCAACCCCGACCCCCCCACAUACACACUCACAAAGUAACCCCAAAACUCCAAACCAAAGACAACCCAGUAUCAACAAACACAAAUCUGACAAACUCUGCUCUUCUGGGAAUCACAUGGAAAAGUAAAUAGCAAAGCUUAGCCCAAGAGGAAGAGCUUAAGUAGGAAAAGCUUAUCUGCAACCGGCCAUUAAAGGACAGGUAUCUGAGGCAACAAUGAAAUGUUCAAGGUCUUUUCUCUGGAUGGGAAUUAGAUACUCUAAGUAUGAUCUUAUACUGAGAGAAUCCAAUGAAUAUUCUUCUGCCGACUUAAGGAAGUAAAUCUUACCAGGGAGCAAAUCUUGCUUUGAGGUGCAAAGGACUUUGCCCAGAGCGACUGGAGCCUUCUCUGGAGGACUAGGGCCUAGACCAGUGGUCCUUACCUUAUUUUGUGUGAGAACAUAUUUGAAAAUGUUAAUGGCAUCAGUGAUGCCUGCCUCCGGUAAAAACACAUGUAUUUAUAUCCAUGCCACAUUUUGUUCUAUGUCUAUUGACUUUUGAACUCUUUUAGGCUCGUUACUGGUUUGAGGAUGUGAAUUAAAAUUUCCCUCUGUGUUUUUGGCUUGCAGAACGUUCUUUGUCUCACGCUUUGGGGAAUGUUCUUUCGUUAGCGGUUCAGACACUGAUGCAGUUUCUUGCGAGCCUUGUGUACACCUGCAUAAGGAUGAAGAAAAUUAUUUUUCACCAUUCCCGAAGUGGAAACAUUUGCAGUAUGAGUCCCAAAAGACUUCAUGUGUCCUCUCUACCUGUUGCUCGGGAUUCUGCAAGAAAGGAGUCAGAAAUACCAGGGUGCCAUUUGUCUCACACAGUGUCCCAGGGCAAUGGACCCUGGCAUGCCCAGCGCCCGGCAUCUCCAUCAGAUGCAGCUUUGAUGGUGUACCAUCUUCAUGGUGAGGCCUUGUCCACAGCCACGGACUUUCAGGCGGGAUUUGCUGCUCAGCUGAUGACCUUUCUCUGGCUCUCAGAGAAGGCACGGAGAGGUCUGCUAGAGCCCAGGAUGGCAGGGUAAGCAAGAAUUUGCU
This 1329-nucleotide long non-coding RNA is filed under the name Ursus americanus (American black bear). Its description in RNAcentral is "lncRNA (ENSUAMG00000007607.1)". Lineage: Eukaryota; Metazoa; Chordata; Mammalia; Carnivora; Ursidae. The record is from RNAcentral.